ACUCCUACGGGAGGCAGCAGUAGGGAAUCUUCCGCAAUGGACGAAAGUCUGACGGAGCAACGCCGCGUGAGUGAUGAAGGCUUUCGGGUCGUAAAACUCUGUUGUUAGGGAAGAACAAGUGCUAGUUGAAUAAGCUGGCACCUUGACGGUACCUAACCAGAAAGCCACGGCUAACUACGUGCCAGCAGCCGCGGUAAUAC
Molecule: ribosomal RNA, 200 nt
Filed under: uncultured Bacillus sp.
Lineage: Bacteria; Bacillati; Bacillota; Bacilli; Caryophanales; Bacillaceae
Description: partial 16S ribosomal RNA
Rfam family: Bacterial small subunit ribosomal RNA
Source: RNAcentral